Long non-coding RNA from Homo sapiens (human), 566 nucleotides. Ensembl annotates it as PRDM8 antisense RNA 1. Its record names the gene PRDM8-AS1. The record is from Ensembl. NCBI's taxonomy places the organism in Eukaryota, Metazoa, Chordata, Mammalia, Primates, Hominidae.
GUGCACGACCUCGACCAGCUGGUCGCCUGAUCUCGUUUAGCAGGGCAGGAGCCUGUGUUCCCAUUUCUUACUAGCUGGGCUGCCGAUGACCUAGCUCAGCCUUGGUUUUCCUCCGGUUGAACAAAAGCUGGCAAGAGCUGCCUCCCGGAUCGCAGUGAGGACUCUAAGGGAACGAGGGCGAACGCGCUUUGGAAAGCCAGUUGCUGAGCAGAUGGUAAGGGAUCACUUCCAAGAGCCAGGGCUAGUUUCAUUUCAGUCUUGGACACGAGAUGGUCUCAAUGCCUUCAUUAAUGAACAUUCUCCUUAGAAGUCUGGAGAACUGACCCAAGAAGAAGGACCAACAAUUCAGGCUCAGGAAAGCCCACAAUUCCACAGGGGAACCAGGACUGCAUGGCUUCGAAUCCCAGCCCUCCCCACUCAGGAAACAUUGCUCCCCAAACGGCACGGAUUUCUGGACGCCUCCACCUUAAGACAGCUACUUCAGCCAGAACGUGGGACAGGCACUAACGGGAUAUCACCCUUGGGGAUAAACACGCUCCAGUUUCCUGUGGACGGUGGAAGAGGAA